UUCGUCCUACGGGGGGCAGCAGUGGGGAAUAUUGCACAGUGGGGGGAACCCUGAUGCAGCGACGCCGCGUGGGUGAAGGAGUAUUUCGGUAUGUAAAGCCCUAUCAGCAGGGAAGAACAAUGACGGUACCUGACUAAGAAGCACCGGCUAAAUACGUGCCAGCAGCCGCGGUAAUACGUAUGGUGCAAGCGUUAUCCGGAUUUACUGGGUGUAAAGGGAGCGCAGGCGGCGCGUUAAGCCUGGUGUGAAAGCCCGCGGCCGAACCGCGGGACGGCAUUGGGAAAUGGCGAGCUGGAGUGCCGGCG
Molecule: ribosomal RNA, 305 nt
Filed under: uncultured bacterium
Lineage: Bacteria
Description: bacterial SSU rRNA
Rfam family: Bacterial small subunit ribosomal RNA
Source: RNAcentral